GUCUUUCCACUUGACAUCAGCAAUGCAGGUCAGUCUUUCCUUUAUCUACAUUCUCAGUAGGUGUUUUCAGACCAAACAGUCUGGGGACUUUUUGAAGAGGAACUAUCCACGAGGGAGUUCCCACACACUAUGGGGACUUGUAUCUGAAUUUGCCCCUGGAGUGACAGAAGCUAGAGCAUUAUCAGUUAUAAAACACAGCUGACAAUAUGGAAGAUGCCGUGGAGCCACUUUACCACAAGCAUCACCUCUGACUUAGAUUUAAAUCUAUUGACAAUUACACAUUAAAAAAAAGAGUAGCUUCACAUUUAAACAUUCAGUAUCGAUGUCAAGAAUACUAGCAGACGAGCAGAGCAGGGGUUGUGUAUAUCUUCUUGUGUACAUACAGAGUGCAGCCGAACAAAUCCUGUAUUGAUUUUCUGAUUUUACUUUUCAACAAGCGUCAGCCCGACCUGUCCUAUCAAUAUCCUCUUGUUAAUCAAUUUUAAAGCAUUUCAUUUAUCAAGUAUAAAUGCUGUUGUAUUUACCUGCACCAUGUUAUAAUAGUUGGACAGGUGGCCCUACCCCUAUUAAUUCAGAACUGCCAUUUCUUCAAGUUUUUUUUUUUUCACUUCACUUUCACCCAAGCUGGGCACUGACUUAUGCAGGGGUAGCAAAAGUUUUUUUUUUCUUUUUUUUUUUUUUUUUUUUCCCCCAUCUUAAAUAGAUAUAUCGAGGUACUGGCUGAGGUGACUAAUACGAUUUUGAGAGGCUCAUGCCACCCCUGGCCAUCCAUCUGGAUACACCCCUCGUGCUAAAGUCUUUGAUUUUAUGAAUAAUUUCAUGCUCUAUUGUGUGAAUCCUCUGUUGUUUUUGCAGAGAAAUGAAAUGCAGACUUGUUGAAAUAGUAAUGAAUUAAUAUGAAAGAAUUAGAGGACUGAAAUUAGAUUUGCAGCUUCAAAACGCACACAAACUGUGACAAAGUGACACUCGUUUAUUUGUGGUGCAGCACUAAAGACUUUACAGCCCUAAAUUAGCAGCAAUUUGCAAACCAGCUUGGAAUUAUUUUCAGUCCAUUAUCCAUAAUUUAAAGCUAAUUAGUUUAGCUUCACUGUGACAGUACUGUACUCGACAUUAGAUUUAAUUCUUUUAUUCUCCAAUAUGAUUUAAAUUAAAGCCUCUUCAGUGGACAAAAUGGGAUAAUCAGUCACAAGAGAAGAAGACGGAAACACAAGCUGAGGACACUUUUGAAGACGUCUUUCCAUGGAAAGUUGCACGGCAGCAUUUACUGUUGUAUGCUGGCUAGCUCACGGCCAGAGUGUGUUUCACAUUAGGGAAUAAGAGAGUGAUACUGUGCUUGAACCUGACAAGCAGUAACCUUUAUGGGGGUAUGAGAGGCGGCUGAAGUCAAACUCACACAGCCGUUUUUCAUUCUUUCAACUUUUUCAUCUUUCAGUCAGGCUCGCUCUCUGGAGAUUUCUCUUUUCUCACCAUUGUGAUGAAGCAACACCUCUGGGAUCGAUUGGAAAAACACAGCAACGCUAAUACCGCUAAUAAGGUCAGCUGACAUUUGUUACAGAGACGUCAGUUUUUCUGAAAGCAUUCCAGCCAAGCAAACAACAUACCGCGAGUUUGAUGGCCAGUUAGCAUGUGUACCCUCGCACUUACAAGCAUAUCUCCUCUUUUUAUUUGCAAAAUGAGUAAGGUGGGAGAGGUGGGGGAUUGGAUUCCUCCGAGCCUGCUGUUCCCAGUCAGUGCAGGCUGUAGACAGCUGGGCGCCCACUACAGUUAAGAUCAGAGGCCUUGAUAACCUGGGCCCUGAUUUAUGGAGAGCAAGCGGCCUCUGCAAUCACCUAAUGAGGGAGAGAACGCAGAGUGUUUACAUGUUUAUUAGAUAGCCAAAACCAGCUGGGGACACUAUGUUCCUUCCCCUCCCUUUCUUUCUUUUCCUCUCUCUCCCUCUUUCUCUCUCUCUCAGCAUCCAUCCACAACAUCUAUUGUAUCACACUGCUGUAAUUCAUGAACAAUGACGGAAUUGUGGUAAACUGGAUGCUUUUCAUUAGACCAUUUGCAAACAGUUUUUGGAGAGCAUCUGUGGCCUGUUUUGAUACUUGGUGUGUUUUUAAUAUGUUACACCGAUCCACAAGAGAAGAAAGGUCAGCUGAUGCCAAAAGUGUCUAAAAACAAACACUUCUUUUCCCAGUCGGAAUCAGAGUAUAAUGCCAAGUAGGUCUGCACACACAAAGCAUCUGCCUCCGGGUUUGGUGCGUUACAGCACACAGAAAUGGCGUUCAGAGAUGCAAGUUAAAUAAAACAGAGAAACUUAAAGCUCCUUUGAGGAACUUUUGCUUUGCAGCAAAUAAUAGCGCCCCCUGUGGACAAAGCAAUCUUAGCCUCUUUGGCUUUUGAUUUAACAAAAUCAGAGUAUUGCUGAUUUUGGCAGUCAAAUGUCAUUUUUGUAAAUAUUUAACAUAUAAAGUGUAAAAGUGGCCUUUUUAGUCUUUUAAAAUUAUAUUAUACAAAUAGUUAAUUUUGUCACUGAUGGUCAUUUUUUCUUCUGUAUAUCAUAAAGAGCCUUGAAAGAGAAUUUCAGUCUCUUUUAUAAAUGUUAAAAAAAACUCCUCACAGGAGCUUUAAAGCAUAAAUAUGAAUGCAUGUUAAAAGCACUAUGAAGAGUUAUUACCUGGUUGAGAAACAGACUUAAAGUAAUACUGAUGCCUCCUCAUGUCCUUCAAAAGUGACCAAGACCACCAGGAACAAGUCUUAUGAUUUUACUUUAGUCCUCAGACAAAAUGAUUGACAGCUGGCUGUAUAGCAGCCUUUUUGACUUUUUGACACAGCAAAUACUCACAGUGAGCAAGAAAUGGAAAUUUUUUCAGUGAAAAAAAAAAAAAAUUCUCAUGUACAGGACAAUAGAUAGGAGGUAUCAUUUUGUCCAUAUGGGGGCGCCAAAAUCAACACAAACAAAUGCAAGCAAGAAAACACGACCAAUUUGUCCCCUACAGUGUCUUUAAAAGAUAUGUGUAUUAUAUGGUGUUGCUGAUGUUUAAAUAGAGUUGUAUUCUUUGUACUGGGAUUUACAAAAUUUACAGUCUGAACUGCUGAGCCAAUUUGCAAAAUACAGAGAUAGUAAUACAAUAGAUAAGUGUGUCAGUCUAACCCCCAGAGUCUAUCUAACUUUAAUGUUGCUCUGUACAGUAUAUUGUUGCCAUAAAACAGUGCUCAGUUUAUGGGGAUACAUCCAUUAGGAUGUAACAAUAAAUGCUUUCUUUCUUUCCAAGUACUUUGGCACAGGUGUUUAAGAUCCCAUUGUUCUUCUCCACAACCAAAUCGCCAAACAUGAGCUGACCUCUUUUCAACUGGAGGGACUUGGAUUGGUGAGGCAGAAUUUAAGACCAGAGUUCUAGCGUUUCUUUUUUUCUUUGGUUUGUGAAUGCGCUCUGGCGUGCGUCCAUAUAAAGGCAUUUUCAGUGACUGAUGCUCAGUGGAAAUCAGAUGGUAUUAUCCCUGCUGCUGCUGCCCACACUCUGGAAAUCAAAAGGAGAAACAAGUUCGGUAAAAGUGCGUGUGUGGCUUGUUUAUGGGCGCAGAUUUUCUUUCUUUUAACAGUGUUGUCCAGAAACAAUGAUAGAUGAUAAAAUAACACUGGCAUUCAUACACACAAACAAAAGCACACUUUCCCAUCAGCCUCCCAGGAAUCCCUCAGCACCUGGGAAAAACUCCUUGCUGUCCAAAAAAGUUAAUGCACAACAGACGGCUUUCUCUCACUCUCUCUCUCUCACUCACCCUCUUUCUCUCCAUUUGGCCUUGUAAAACCUUAGCAAAUCAAAUCCGCUUUCCAUCAGGGUUUUAUAAUUGUUGUUUUCGUUAGAGGAACAGCGGUUCUGAGGUCUUUCAAACCUUGUCUUUCAACCAAACCGGAUCUUUGGUUCUUGUUAUCCUCUGCUGGUGUUGAACAGAUUGUGUUCGAGUCCCUGCUGGAGCUUAAAGAGGUUCACAUGUCUCCAGACUGUUCAUGAGGUAUUGGUGACCUGUGAGAGUACAGUGUCGAGUUCCUCUGACAGUUUGCAGUUUGGGUUUUUGUGAUAACUUGUUGUCGGCUUCUUCUUAUCAUAUGACCGUUGCCUGGAUGUUCUGACAUUUUCUGUGAAAACAGAGGAGCGUGAUCACACAUCCAAUGAUUCAAGAAUUACAUCAGCUCCCUGACUAAAGGCCGUAAAUCUCUGUUAGGUGUCAGAGAACACGUACUGUAUCUGUGUGAAAGUGUACAGUGGUUCUCGAGGGCAAAAGUGCAGCAAUGGCCCCAGAGGUAAGAAUUUAAAAAUGAUUGAAAUCUAUAAAAAAAACGUUCAAACGUGUAAAAUAUUUAAAUACAUGAUGCAAAGAGGGUAACAUCCAAACCCCAAAAACAAAUACAACAAAAAGGUGUUAAAAAUCUCGGUCUGAAACAAUGAAGCCAACAUGCAAACAAACUGCAGUUCCUUAAAUGUCCACUUCACUGUUUCCAGUAGUCAAGGGUAGCUGCACUGAUACCUGCCUUAAAAUGCCCACUGUAGAAACAUGAUGCGAUGCAAUGUGUUGCGAUUUGAUUUGAUUUGAUUUGAUUCGAUUCGAUUUGUCUUGGACUCCAAAAGCUGCACAGAUAAAGCUGCCAAUAGAUAACACAUAGCAUUAGACCCAACAAAGAUACAGUCACACAACCCACGCACCCUGCACAUACACGUCUUGCACAAGAAACUCACAGAAAUGGUCAAACAAAAAACUCUCUGACAACAAAUAUCAAUUACAAAGAAUAAAAAAAAUAAAUAUAUUAAAGCUCCUGUCACAAAAUUUUGGUAAGUGUUGAUUUUGGCACCCCUGCUGCCAUCUUUCCUGAUUGUGCUUCACUUUGCUGUGGAACAUGGAAAAUAAGGCUGUAUCAGCAGUGUACAACUUUUUGCCUUGCCUUGCCACCAGAGAUUAGAAAUAACUCAAUAUAUAUCAUCACCAUUCUUUUGUAAUAAUCUCUUUUGCUAUUUAAGGUUAAAAAAAACAUCUAUAUUAACUUAAGCUUGUUUCAAACCUCACUAAAAACUCCACACAGGAGCUUUAAAUGUACAGUUGUGGUAUUAACAGCUAGUUUUUUAGCUUGUACACAUUGUAUUAGGUUUGUACACCAAGAUUAAUGCUUAAAUCUGCACAAUAGGGGUCUAUUUAUAGUGAGUAUGUCACAGCUGAAAGGCUCCCUCAACCCCACCUCUCUGCCAGUGUCUAAAGUAGGUUGAUUACGUAUUUCCAACCAACAUCGUUAAGCUUCACAGCACUUCUUCAGAAAUCAACAGUUGGAGUUACUGGGAAUAUGUUCAUGAUUUAUGCGUUUAGAGGGUUUAGAUGCAUUAAAUGUGAGCACUACAAGUGCUAGACCAAAGAAAGUUUCUGGGCGAGAGAGAGAGAGUUACAGAAUUUCAGACAUCAUUCAUCCUGUUGGGAGGGUCUCUGAAGGCUGGGUGUUGCUGACAACCAUGUAGGAUCAAAAAUCUCAAAAUUUAUGAAAACAUGAGUGUCUGGUUCAUACUUUAGACAUCCAGGCAAAGCCUCGAGAAGUCUGAUCUUCAAGUCUUCUCUCCUCUCUUCAGCUGUUAGAUGCCGACCGGCUGGCGCUCCUGACCAGCCCCGACCCCAACAAAUCACUAAUUUUUAUACAAUUACCCCCCGCUCCCUUCCUGCGCAUGGCUGGGUGCAAGUGUCGCCCGUCUGCCUGCCAUUGUGUGCUAAUUUUAGGCCCAUUAUUCGCUGUAACAAAUGUGCUAUGGGCAGAGUCACUUUCACAUUAAUAGUUUGCACCCAGAGGGGAAGUCUUCCCCCUCAUCAUGGAUCAAAGGUCUCCUCUAUUGUAUCUAACUUCCUGUUUCCCUUUUUAGCCACUGUGUGUUGUUUUUUCUCACUCUCUCAACCUGGACCUCGCUACAAUGGCAGUUCAGGGCUUUAAUAUUGGACACUGAGGCAGCUGCGGCUCAGUGGUAGAGUGGGUCGUCAGAGGGUUGGGGGUUUGAGUCCAUAUUACCCAGUGUGUAGUGUCCCAAACUACCCCCCUGGUGGCUGUGCCAGUGGCGUGUGGGUGGGAUUCAUCAUUACUGAUGGGUGCUUUACCCAGAAGCCUCUGCCCUCUGUGUGUGAAAGUGGUUUAAAUAGAUAUACGUGAAAUAUAAUGUAAAAGUUCUUUGAGUGGUCAAAGGGAGUGCUGUGCAAAUUCACUCCAUUUACCAUUUACACUGCUGUGUGUGACAAGCACGAGGAGACGCCCUUUGACCUGUUGUGUGAGAGCCAGCAGGUGAUUUGUGGAAAUAGGAGGAGAUGUGUGAAGUGAAAGCUCACGGUCUUGAUAUCAUGUGUCCGCAGAGAAAUCUGGAUCCUAUUGUUGUACUGUCAGCAGAGGUGUCCAAGUUUGAUAAAAUGCCUCGUCACCUUUCUCCGGUUCAACUCCCGCAGAUGUUAAAUGAUAGAGGUUGAGCAGCUGAAAUUACCCUGACCUCAGCCUCUGGAAAAUAUUUUUCAACCCAGAAUGUGUGACUGUGCUCUCUUGAAGGUACUCUGAUUAUCUUAACCCCAUGAAAUUCGAAGAUGACGCCAACUACGGUUAAUUUUUCAACCCAGAAGAACUGUCCCUUAAAUAACUCUUUGGCGAGGUGCUGCGGUGGAUGACUGAUGCAGCUCUGUGUCACAGGAAGCUGUAAAGCCAGCAGACGGGGAAGACCCACAUGUCACAAGGCUAAACAAAUCUCACCUCGCCAUUGUACUGAGAACAACUGACCCAACACAUGACUCCGAUGAAUCACACGGACACGUUUGCAGGGGAGAUAAAAGCCAAUAAAUAACAAGGCCGGGAACAGUCGCGACGAGUGCCAGAGGAAGAUGCUGAAACAAGCUCCAGAGUGUAGGGAAAGUUCAGUUUUUACAUCUUCGAUCAUAUUUUUAAGGUUUUAGCCAAACUCUCUUUUUGAAUCACUAACAAGAAAGGACAUGAAGGAGUUUCAGUGUAUCCUGUCUCAAACCUUGAGCCUUAACUUAAACUGCCUCCUUCAAAUUUCCCACUUUUUCUCUGUUUCGAGAGGUCCUUCAGAGGGUAGGGUGUCUCUUUUUACUUUCAAUAUCAAGAGGUCAUCAAACUCUCUGAACAGCUCUUUAAAUAGAGUGUUAAGUGAUAAAGGAAAACUCCCAAAAUGUGCUCCAAACUGUGGCAGUGAUACAUGGAGCUUUGCAAGUUAUUGUCCAAAAACUAAGAAAUUAGUAGAAACGAUUUAAAGCAAAGGUGUAUGCACUUUGAUUAUUACCACAAGGGUAUGAGAAGAAUGGUGUCCCAUUUCUCAGAGAUUUCUACCCAUACCUUUGGAGGUAUAGAGCCUCUUUCUUAUCCAAAGUUUUCCAGGAUUUGGGAUAAGGCCACAAAAAAAAUGAGAGCGAUAGAAAUGGUGAGACUGAUGCAUGUAGUCAACCAGCAGCAGCAGUGAUCCAGAGGAGCCUACGGGAUGAGGGAGCUCAGGGACCCCCAGAAAAGACUGUAGUUAGUGACUAAGACAGGACAUGAUGAUUCAAAGUUAAUGACAUUUAUUUACCAUUAUUGGUUUUGCAGAAUUACCCCCAAUUUCCACCACAUCCGGAACGGCUACGAAAAGGCUGUAUCCGCUGAAUGUAGCUGAUCGUAAACAUUCAAGUUAAUGUGUCAAUUUCCACCAGCUUCUUUCCAUUCCACUGCGGGUCAUGGGACUCCACAGCUGAUCGCAGGAGUUCUAUUUUUUCCGAACGCUGGAGCAUGCCGGAUAAAUUCAGCACAGAUUAACCUGUUCUGGAAAGGAAGUCGGGCACACACACAAAAUAAAACAUUCGGCUUCCUUUCAAAAUAAAACACUCCGUAUUUCACACCAUGCAAACAGGCAGGGACGAACAAGUCAAAGGUUUUUAGACAGCAUUUCAUCCCGAUGACACCAUGGAUGAGAGGAUAAUGAUUUUGUAAGUCUAAAGUUGGAUCGCCUCCACUGGAAGGACACAAUCUACUGCUUAUAUGGUUAGCCUAUGUGGCUAGAGACAACUCGUUAUCACGCGAUUGUACAUGAAUCCCCGGGUUCUUGUGAGUUCUUGCAAUUCCUGCUGUCCAUAAUUUGUCACGAAACGCGCCUCACAAACGGAUCCGGUAGGAAUUGGCAGACGGUGAAAAUUUGCAGCCGUUCCAGAUCGUUGCCAUUACGGAAUCACAAGAUCACAAGACUGCCAUGUUUUUUUACCGUAUAGUAAACAAAUAUAGAAAGAGAGUAUAGAGAAGCUGCUGUAUGGUUUAGAGAGGGAAGCAUUUCUCCAGGCACAGUGAUCCUGUAAUACGGGCCACGCAGAAGGUGAAAGGGAUUGCUGAUGGCUCAGGGGGGUGACCUCUUAGCCGAUGGGGGAUGGAGCGAUAUAGGAGCAGCGGUCAGUACUGCGGCUGCAGGAGUGUGUGUCAUCCUCUGCUGUGUGACGUGUCCGUGUUAAUGCAGCAUGUCCCCUGUGGGAUGGGGAAGGGACCGAGCCCUGCAGAUUUACAGAACGAGCGGUUUGCUCAUGAUACUUCAGGUCAAACUCCCUCCUCCUGGCAGUGAAGGCGGAUGGUUUGACAGAAAGUGUGUAGAGAGCCACAGCUGAGGCUCAGGCAGAAAAUAAUGAGGUAAAAUAAACAUGAAAGCAAACACUGAUUCAUGUUUCAGUGUAUCUGUAAAAAUCUAUCAAUCAAUCACUCACUUUAUUUAUAGAGCACUUUUCAUACAUGGACUGUAUCACAAAGUGCUGUACAUUAAAGAAUACAAGAAGGAAAAGAUCAGGGGAUACUGAAUAAAAUACAAGUUAAAAUGGUGACUUAUAGCAGAAUCUGCACUUUUCCCCAGGAAGAAAGAUCUGUAUUUAAAUCUGAAUACUAGUCGAGCCGAAGCAGGCAUCAAAAUAGAGCAGCUCCGCUCAAAUUAAUUAAAAUUCAAACUUAAUGUCUCCUUGAACCUGUGACAUUGUAAACAACAGGCUCCCUACAAAUUUGGCCUCUGUUGCCAUGUUAUUGCUGCAAUACACUCUUCAUGUUGUCAGGGCAGCCAAAGUAUCCACAUUUUUUGCCUCUCUCAUUUUAUUUAUUUUUUUUUUUUUUUUACCCAUAAAGGCUGAUGUACAAUCACGAAGAAUGUGUGCAAUCGAAUGUCCUUUCUCAUUGUGGCCUCAUUCACAGAUGAAUUGGCUGUUCCCCUCAUGUCCGUGAGUUUUAUUUAGCUACACCACUCUAUUGGCUAAUUUGUUAUGUCGUCCUUUUUUUCUGUCCUGCGCUGAUGUCUUGUGCUGAUGUCUCGGGGAAACCUUCAAACAUGUGAACCCAGCACGCACAAGUCCAAGGAACAGGAAACUGAGAACAAGAAGCAGCAGGUUAUUUUUUGUAAGACCAAAAUCAAAGCUCUUCAGAAACUGCUAAAUAUUAAGACAUGUUUUUAUUGGAGAUAAGAACAAAUCUCUAUGCCGCUGAAAUCUUUGCAGAUGAUGAUGUUGUAUUCAGGGCUGUCUCAAGACGCACUAUUGAGGAUAACAGUCUGUUUUGGAAUAAUUAAUAUCGAUAUUGGCCAAAAAUAAAUAUACGGUAUGAGUUCAUUGUCCUUCACACUGAUUUGACACAUCAUAGAGAGAGCUGCUAAGAUACUUCUAAAAACUGGAAUUUAAAGAUUCAGCUUGUGUCUCUCAGAGUUACCGAUCUAACUGUUCAUUUGAUUAAUUUUAUUCAGAUCCGCAACUUGAAGUCUGCAGUUUAUACUCCAAAAUAAAAACAUAGUUUUACCAUGUGGAAAAUAAAGUAAUGUAAACAAUAUAUUUAUAAUAUAAUAUCGACAAAAAGGUGAUAUCUACUCCAAACCAGUUUCAGUCACGGAGCGGCUGGUGCAGAUGAAAAAAAUCAACUGAGUAGUUGGUCAAGUUUAUUAAGUGUAUGAUGUGUAACUCCAGCCUCAUUUUGCCUUUUCAUCAAUGUCACUAAAUGUGUUGUUUUUCAAAAAUAUUGUGAUCAUAUCUUUAUUGCAGUAUUUUAAGGCCACGAUAUUUAUGAGGUGAACAUCUAACACCAUGACAGCCCCAGUAGUAUUAUUUGUUUGAAACUGUGUUGCCUGAUUGUUUGACAGUGUAGACCUCAGGGGUAACCCUCUCUGUAAAAAGGUCAGGUUUGUACACACUCAAUGUUGUGCAGAUAAAAGGAAAUCAAACAUCAUCUGUGAAUGAAUGUUGAAGCUAAGAGAGGAAGAUGGCUGUCCACCUCAGAGUCUAGAUGUGUUGGAGGUUUCUGCCUCUUUAAAGGAAGGUGCUGAGUGCCGUAGGACAAUAUUUUUAAAAACCUGUUGAAUCUGAAUGGAUGUUUAUUUCCAGAUUCUCUCUUUAGUGGCAAAAUUGAUGGGGAGCUGGUAGUCGUGAGGAAAACUAGCACAUGCUGUCAUGAGUAGAAAUUUAACUAGCAAGGCUACUUUCCAAUCCUGCUGUAACAAUUAGUCGUGUAACAGCAUGGCUAUAUCUUUCCCCGUCUAGUUCUCCAAAUUAAUUGAAGGAGGAAGUAGCAUGUGAGGAAAUUAGGCCAAAGAAGAGCAGAGUAAAGUGCACAUUAAGGAGGCUAAAAGCAUUUCCCUUUUUUUUUCUCCCACUCCUUGUCUUUCUACUUGAGGCCUUGGGGAGAUAAUGAGAGCCUUGGCUUUGUAAACAUUAUUUCUGGCAUAUUGCAGCUGCCAUCAGCUUAUUUAUGGCCUGAAUUUUAAUAAUCUGGGAGCUAAUAUGCUUGAGAAAAUAGGGAAACACACAGUAAAGCUUGAGCACAGCCAAACAUUGCUUUCCUACCCUCAGCAAGGAGGCCACUCAACAGGAACAUCAAACGCUCGCUCUCCUGCGUCUGGCCCACGUUAAUUGUACGUCUAUUGUGCCCCCAAAGGUCUCUGGGAACCAAAGGAGGAGAAAAUUGGCACAGAGAGAGAGAGAGAGAGAGAGAGGGAGAAAGAGAGAGCGCUAAAUAAAUAAAUUCUUAAACUUUGUCAGACUGGCAAAGGUUUUGAUACCUUAUUCUGAGCUCCCACUGCAUUUCAGUAACAAAAACAUCCUUUCAACUCGGGUGUUAGUUUUAUUUAUUUUUAUUAAACCUCUUAAAUAGUGCAAAUAAAUUGCAUCUUUCUAGUUUAUCUAGGAGGCCCUGAAGUCCUGUUCUCGCAAACAAACUUUAGAAACAGCUUUUCCAUCAAGAUAAACUGAGUUGAAGCGCCAGUGGGUAAGUUUGUGUCAAGUUUGGCACCCUCUGUGGACAAAGUUGUCUUUGCUUAUCUUGUCCUCUACCUGCUUGAACAGCAUUCUCGAUCAAAAAAUCUUAUCCGGCCAACUUUUAACAUUCAAAUCUUUCAUUUCUUGUGAAUAUUUUGUAUUGAAAAAUGUAACAACGGGGAAGUUUCUUCUGCCGCUUGGUUUCAGACUCAGCGUUGAGAUAUAAAAACCAUCAGUCAUUUCGCUGAUGGACUUUUGUAGAUCGUACAAAUACAUUAACUAAAAUUUCAGUUCAAUAACCAUUAGUCAUUGAUGACAUUUGGGAAUAUAAUGAUAUAGCUGUGUUUUGUUAUGUCUGUGUAGUCAACAUUUUAAAUUUUUUGAGUGGCCCGCUCUUUCUGACUGUAAACAAAGUAGUUCUCUGCCUCCCCAUCCUGAUUGGUUGUGAGGCAGACGCUGCUCCCCCGUGUCGUUCAGGAGCCCAAACAAAGUUAGCGUGCUACAAUAUCGGACAGUAGAAACCAACCAGAAAGUACAGAAAACUGUCUGAAUCCUCCUUUAGCCACGACUGCCAACACAAGUAAGAAAACAAACUUAAUACCGGAGACUGGCGGAAUAAAGGGUGCUUAAAAACGAGGUAGACCGGACAAGAGCUAAAGAAUCCAGGUCAACAAUGAUGGGGGAUGCUUCGGGAUCUUACAGACCCUGUAACCUUUCUGCUGGACAGGUAAACCGCUUUAACAAACUAAGCUAAGUGUCUUUAGCAGAAGUGUUUCUUGUCAAACGGGACCUGCUGCAUGUUGUAGCGCCACUAAACUGUUUACCUCGGGUCCUGGAGUAUGUCACUUUAUCCUGGUUGGUUGUGAGGCUGGUUGUAAAAGUCCUGCAUACGUUUUGUUUGCUGGUAGUCUGUUGGCAUCUACAUUCGCAUCAAUGCUUUUUACUGUCAUGUUAACUGGGCCCCCUUUUGUAAUUAUCUGAAGUAUUUAUCUGCAUUAUAUCUGAAUUUAACUGGAAGGAUACGAGCGAGCAGGAGUGUCUGUUUGUGGGCGGGGCUUGCUGGAGCAGAGAGGAAGGGGAGAGGAGGAGCUGAGGGGGAAACUGAUUGGGAGGGGUAGAGUUUACAUUCAAGAUUUCUCCCAAAAACUGGCACUUCCUCAGAUCCUGCCUACCCCACCAUUAAUUUGAUUCAUUGUGGCAGGGCUAAUAACACUGAUCAGCAGAGGGCGCUUAUAAGUGGUACAUACCAAAUACUAUUCCCAGUGUAAUGCAUACAAUAAAAGUGAGUUUCUCAGUGUUUUUACCUAUAUUUUAACCUUAAAUAAAGCAUUAUGGGUAAUGAAGUGACAAGUUUUGCACAAGGAUUAAUUAUCUGAGUAAAAACAGCUCAUACCUCGACAAAGACUGUUUUGCUUUUGGACUUUGUAAACUGUCCAUCUCAGGUCCCAAAUGGCCGCGGUAAGCCUUUGAUGUCACCAUGACCCGACAUUGUGUGUUUUUUCUCAAAGUCUAAAUUGGAUAUGCUUCGAGAUCCAAAUAGUUGAAACAGUUUGAAAGAUCAUACGACAUACACCAAAUCCUACCAAGUACAUGACACAAUACAGCCAUUCAUAAUGACAGCUUUUUCUGAUCUGAUUCCUCUUGUUGGCAGAACAAUGUCAUUUGUCAUCAUUGCCCUCCAAAAACCACAUCCAGAACACUGUGAGAAACAUAAAUCUGUUUUAUGAUCUUCACUUGCGAGGCUUUGAUUUGGUUUGAGCAACAACACGACUCGGUGGGGAUUUUAGUCGCAGGAUGGCGUAUGUUGUAAACUAUGACGGUUUUGGUUUGAGAUAGAAUUACUUUUUCAUUAGUAACCUUUGUCAUGAUUACUUCAAUAAACACUCACAGGAAUAAGUGAAGUUGAAGCCAAAGGACACCAACAUGGACUUUCAGCUGCCUCUUUUGGGGUUGUUCCACCGUUUGUUUGCCCACCUUUCCGCCCUGAUUCCUCCUUUAUUCCUUUUUUGUUAGAUAAAGGAAACCAAAUGUCAUCUUUGGGCAUCUGCUCCAAUUAAAGUUGGUGUGUCUGCAGUUUUAUUAUUCAUGCUCUCAGUAGAAGAUGAAUAUGAUCAUGAUGUAAAGUAUUUAAAUCAGCCAAUAUACAGUGUUAAAGAGACAGACCAAGAGCCAGUAAACACACCAUUGCCCGUCUGCCGAACAGGCUGAGACAAAAACCUAACAGGCAGUCAGCGGCGGCGGGCCCGAGGUGACUGAAAGUUUAAAGGGCAGAGUUCAGAAAAGUAAGUGACCCCGUCCUGCCUCACACACUCCUUAGCUGUACAUAUUUACGAGGUGUAAUUUUUAUGUGAGUGCCAGGCAACAACAGGUUUAAGAGGGCCAGAGUAACCUUCCUGGGGCCCGGGGUGACCUGUACCCUGGCUACAAUUGUUUCCCUGGGCCACAAUUAGGAGCAGGGCUUCAAUGAGUCACCCCAGCGUCAUGCUUCCAUGCCGUCACAACACUCGCCCUCUCCGCGCUCAUAAGCAGACUUUGAAACGGUCACAGCUUUCCUUCAGCUCAUCUGUCAGCUGUUAAUACUUGUGCCAAAUCUAAGUGUCAGGAAUAAGAGGUGCUCUGAUAUUUUUCUCCUCCCGAUUUUGACACCACUGCUUAUUUCAUCGUACGAGAAACUUUGAUAAGCGGUUGUGGAAAUAUGAUACAAUAUGCAUGGACUGCACAAGUGAACAUAUCCUAACUUCUUUCCUGCUGAAUCUCUUGUUAUCUUUUCCCUCUUUCCUGUUUCUUUCUCCAGCUCUGGUUUGGUGAGCUUUGACAGUCGCUGCGAUGCCCUGCGACACAGCGAGUCUUCAGUAGGGGCUCACUGGGUCUGGCCACACAGGCUUGUCACCACUAUUCACCAUCAAACCCCAAACUACCAAUUAACUCCUGAGCCCACCCCCACCUGCCUGAAGGCACAGUGACCUGCCCCCCCUAUAGUCUCACCCCCACCGCCCCUCAAACCCGCUCUGUACUCCCCGAACAUGCCCCAUGAGAUGCCUUGUGACUUAGUGACAUACAGAUGCUCAGAGAUAUUCUCCCUGUGUGUGUGUGUCCAUCCGUCCGUCUGUCUGUCUGUCAAAGCCCUGAACUUUAAAAAGGCAGAUAAAGUCAAUCUGUCUGUGCUCAUUCAUGGCAGAGUCCAGUGUGGCUAUAACAAGUUAUCCUCGUGGAGAUAACCGAGGGAGACAAGCGGGGUCUGGCACGAAGGCAGAUGCUAGCAAUGAGGGUGUAGUGGAACAGGGAUCUUCAGACCUACAGGGAUUCAUUGUAGCUUAAAUCUCAGGAAGUUGCAAGAACGGGUCUCAAACCCUGGGAUGAGUUCAGGUUUUUCAACCCUUGCUCUUUCAUCUUGAAGAUACAGCCACUAUGAUAGCAUCUCUGCUACUUUUGUGACUCCAACCCCCGAUUUCCACUGCAUCCAGAACAGCUAUAAAAAGGCCGUAUCUGCCGAUCAUAGCUGAUCAUAACCAUUCAAGUUCAUUUGCCAAUUUCCACCAGCUUCUUUCCGUUCCACUGCGGACCAUGAGCGUUCUAUUUUUUCCUGACGCCGGAGCAUGCCGGAUAAAUUCAGCACAGCUUAACCUGUUCUGGAAAGGAAGUCGGGCACAGACACAAAAUAAAACAUUGUAUUUCACACCAUGCAAACAGGCAGGGACGAACAAGUGAAAGGUUUAUCGACAGCAUUUUUCCCCGAUGAUCACGCGAUUGAAUGUGAAUCCGCGGGUUCUUCUGAGUUCUUGCGAUUCCUGCUGUCCGUAAUCCACCAUGAAAUUCGCUUUACAAACAGAUCCAGUAGGAAUUGGCAGACGGCGAAAAUCGCUGCCGUUCUGGAUCUGAGCCAUUCCGGAUGUGGUGAAAAUUGGGGGUAAUACAACUGAUAUAAAAAAAGCUGUUUCUUUUUAGCACAUAUUUGAGAUAUUCUACGACCUUCACAUACUUGGAAAAGCUGAUAGAAAGACUGAAACCUUCCAGGAUAUGAAACGUCAACAUCGCAGAUAGAGUCUGUUGUCGCUGUGGCCCCAAGUUGCACAAAUGUCAGUCAAGUGGCAGCUACAAUUUAGGCCACACGGAAAACACACUGCCUUUGUAUGUGUGCAGUCUGUGUGUAGUAAUAAGUAACACACUCGUACACAUCCUGCGCCCACUCUCAGAACUGUAGCGGUGUUGUAAAUGUAGUGGCUCUGUGUGUCUUUGAUCAGUGGAGCUGCUGAUGGAGGCAAAGUCAGAGCGCGCUUUCAUAAAAGACGGAGAGGCAGAGGAGGGAAAGAUUGUUUGCUUUGAGACAGGAAGGAGUGACUGUUGAAGUGUGAACUAAUGAGGAGGGUGAAUCCUCUCAGACAAGAAGCUGCACAGGUGCUAACUGAAGGUGUAGCAUUUUUUAUGUACGCUAACACCAACCAACAAUGGGUGGAAUAAACAGAAAGAAGCAUCAUUUCUAUGACCAGGUAUGUUGAUUCAGAUUAAAUUUGCUGUGCCAAACACAUUUUGGAGGAAAAAUCUAACGGUUGAAAAAAAAUAAAAGCAAAAUGUUGUAGACGCCAUAUUGAAAAUGCUGACUCUGCCUAACUUACUGUCAACUUAGCAGUGGUGAGGCUGAAGUACGAAGAGAGUUAGGGCUAAAUGAAGAGGAAAAAAUAAUUACAGGAAGGAAAUUAAAGUAGAAAUUUCAAGAUUAAAGAUGAAAUAUCUAGAAUAAAAAGGUCAAAAUUAUGUCAAUAAAGUUGAAAUUUCGAGAUUACAAAAUGUCGAAAUGUCGUUAAAAUAAUUACAGGAGGGAGAUUUUUUACAUUUCCAUUUCUAAAUUAAUGUCAAAAUUUUCAGUUGAUUUGAAUAAAGUUGAAAUUUUGAUUUUUUUAAAGUUUCGAAGUUAAUUUCCGAAUUUCGACUUUAAUCUCAAAUGGAAAUAAAAAAAAAUCUCUCUCCUGUAAUUUUUUUAUUUUCUAUUCUUGCGGCCCUAAUCCUCUUUCAUACAUUCGCGAAAAUGAGCUCUUUUGAAUAAGUGUAUAUACGGUUUAUGGUGCUUCUGCAGCCAGCCCCAUGUGGUCACUUGAAGAACUGCAGUUUUUAGCACUUACGCACUAGCUUCAUUUUUCAUGACCGGAGAUCGCUGCUUUCGUUGAACAGAGUCAGGUUAGCUGUUUUGCUAAUGAAAGACACAGUCAAGCAUGUCAGUCUCUUUAGAAAGUUACCAAGUGUACCAACCGACUGAUUAACCUUCUGUCACUGCAAACGACAUGUUUAGAUUUAGAUUGUAUUUUGAAAAGCAACUUAUUUUUUUCAGUUACCUCAUGACACUUGAUAUAAAGAGCAGUUCUAGAGUUUGACAUCAUGGAGUAAUCUACCGUCAAUCUUCUUUCUAACGGGCAGAAACCUCAAGCAGAACCAGACUCACCAGCGGACAGCCGUCUGCCCUUAACUGAAUUGAGAGACAGUCUCACUGAUUUAAAGCCAGCAAAUAAGAAAAGAAAAUAAUGGUGAGGAGUACCAACAUUAAUGACGAAGAUGAAAAACAAUACCUAACCAAACUGUGGAUUAACAUUUCUGCACCACAUGGAUGAAUGUUUGGCUUUGCUCUAAUUACAGUAGUAUAGGCACAACAUGGUGAACCGCAAUUACAUUACUGCAAAUCCAUAUCAUCACAAAAGUGUUUGAUAUUAAAUUAAAGGGUUCUCUCAAAUACACCACAUGAAAAAAGAGGCUUUGACCCAGAAAAACUGAUUCAGUUUAACAAAUUUGACUGAGACUGUAAAGGUUUGGUAAUGAUAAUGUUAGUGUAGUUACAUAAAAGCUCUAGCAUGAGUAGGAAUCUUUUUUUUUUUUCCUUCAUAUGUGUAAAUUUAACCCAGAAACAAAAAGAUAUGUCCUCCAUUGUCUUCACAGACAUAAAAAACAUCGCCACAGUCCACAUAAAGUCAAAUGACUUUUUUUGUGUGUUUUUUUCUUCCUCUUUCUUCUGCUGCAGUCUGAGCCUUUAAGUGUGUCUAAGACUUUCCAUUUGGCUGUCACUUUUAAUUUGCUUCUUAUCUUCAAAGAACUCAUCCACCCCUGUUGGCAGCUAAUGGAAGUGCUGCAGAGGUGUGGCACCAAGACGGCAUAAAAUCAGGCGGUAGUAUCAGGAUUGAUGGCUUUUAGUGUCACAGAUAGACAAAAAAAGAAAGGUACGAGAGUUUGAAGAAAAACUAGAAUAGGGUCACUCUGGUUAUUUAGGUAACAAUAGAGGAAAGUUUCCAAACAAUGAAGUCUGAGUGUGGAAAGAGAGCACACAGCGGACUGGGUUUCUCAUCGUGUGAAGGUUUUUAGGGAGGAAGUGGUCGUAUCAAAGAUAAAUCUGUGCGCCCGUAAAGCAAACAAACUCUGUGCUUGAAUGACAGCAGAAACCAAGAGUGCUGAAAUUUAUGGGUGGUGCCUAAACAAAUUGGCAACACGGAGCAAACUUCAAUCUACUCUACAUAGGAUUUAAUGAAACGGAUACUACUCAUGCGAUUGCUGCCAGCUGCAGAGCUGAAAGAGAGAGAGAGAGGGAGAGAGGGAGAGGCAGCUAGGAUAAAUCAGGAGUCAAAUGCCAAUACGCCAUCGGCCAAAUCUCUCAACCUGAUGAAACACAAGAAUAAUCAGAUUUGGAGAUGCUUUUUUGGGAGGGGGAGUGGAAGUUUUUUUGAGGGGGGAAGUGGGAGUGUUGGGUGAUGAUAUGAGCAGAACGGACAGAACAAGGAGCUGCUUUUUUUCCUGACUGACAGACGGUCCCAAACAAGGCUGUUCUCUGAGAGUGCAGGGGGGGUUAGUACCAGGUCUUGAGGAGCAAAAACAGAGGAGGAGGGUAUUCUUUUUUGAAAUGGUUGUUUCUUUUAAGGACGGAGGUUGGAUUGAGUAAUGUGUGGGUCAGAUAAGGGUGAAAAAAAAAUUGUUGUGGGAUGUUUAAAUGUGCUGGCUGUUUUUCCACUGACAGAACAAAUUUAUGAUCUUUUUCCACAGUCUUUUCACUUGCAUGCUUAAUCAGUAAUUUUAUUGGCAUUAAUAGUUGGUAAUUGUGCCUGCAAACAGCACACAUGUGUAGUAUUUCUUUGUUUAUGCUUGUCAGCGAUGACAAAUGUGCGUAUCUACGUCGCCUGUCGCAGGUAUUUCGUCUCCUUAUUCAUCACAGGCACGGGCAGAAAGGCUUGAAAACAACACAAACAUAGCUGCCUCUCUUUCAAGCUGAACACCUCUGCUUUCCAUAACUUUUUCACUCGCUGUCAUUCAGCCGGCUGCAGACCGUCUGCACACACAGAACAAUGACACGUAUGUAUCUGUAAAGACUUAAUGAAACAUGAGAUUCCUCUUGAAUAGAGGAGUGCAGUGUAAUAGUUUAGGACAUGAUUUAUCCGUGGCAGACGGGGCAUGUUUGGACAGGAGAGUUUGUUACACCAGUCACAAUAAUCUCUCAAUUCAAUCAUGUUUGAAUAAGGCUAGAUGGGCAAAAAAAAAAAUAAAAAGUAAAUACUUUCCACUUUAAAUGAACAAAAUCAAGAUUUCUUGUUAAAAAUAAUUUGACAAAAUGACACAGAUCCUAAUUCAUCAGCCAUAAAGUUGCUUUUUGAAAUGCAUAUAAAAAGUGUUGAACUGCAUUUCAUAGGGGAGACCAGGCACAGUUAUGACACCUUUUCCUUUAGUACUUGUAGCUUGCAACACUCUAAAUUUUUUAUACCACAAAUCAUACCAAUUCAAACUCCUUCAAAAAUAUGGGUUAAUGUUAAACACUAAGUUCUAUUUUGUAAUAAUCUGCCCCUCUUCCUACUACCAGGGAAGGAUUGAACACAUGCUAGGCUAUCGUAAUAAUUAGCAAAACAGCACAAAUAGAGGUCACAUCAUGUUAUACGCUUCAAAACCAAGUUUAAAGAAAUAAAAGAACAACCUCGGUUUAUCCUCUCUCCCUCUCUUUUUCUUUCUCUCUCUUUUCCAAAUGUUCAUAUUCUAUUGUUGGAAAAUUACUUCUCUCUCCGUGUAACAACCUUCCCCGGUCUCCCCUACAUGGCGUGCCUGCAUAUGCACAUGUGCUGUCAUUUAAACUCCUUUAUGAUAAAUGACUUUAAACUGUUAAAUUGUGAUGUUUUCCACCUGUCUGUUCUUCAUGUCUACACUGAAAAGGAAAAAAAAAAACAUUCAGCACACAGCAUGAAAUAAACUCCAGAGUGACUUAAAAUUGUCAGACAUCAUUUCAUUAGAUUCAUUUCACUCUAACUGAAAUGUCAGACCAUUGAGGGGUGUCUGUGUUUUUAAUUGUUAGCCAUGCUUGUUUCUGAAUCUGCAGUUAAGUUACCAACUAGUUUGUACCUUUUAAAAUUGUUGUUUUUAUAUUAUUGUCUGUAAUCUGUCUUUUAAUUGUUAAGAUGUUUGCUGCUGACCUCUUUACCCAGACUCACUUAUAAGAGAUCUCAGUAGGUUAUUACCUGGUAAAUAAAUUAAAAAAAACAGUUUCAGUCCACAUGCAGUUAAUUCGAACUUGGUUGCCAUCAAGACCCUUUACUCACAAGGUAUAAAAACAUUCAAACGUGAUACAAAACACACUCAAAUGUUGUUUUACAUAGUUUUUUAGGACACAUAUUCUAUGAGUGAUUAUGAAUUUAAAAGAUUUAAAUCAAAGACAUCUUUUACAUUUUAUAUUUGUGUUUUAAAUUAAACUGAAUAACACAUCUACUUAUCUGUUUCAUAUAAAGGAGCUUUAACUGGUUUCUUAUCACCAACACUAUUUAUCAAAUGUGUGUUUACUGCUUAGUAAUGUUAUAAAAAAAGACUUUGUGUUUUAACUACAUUUGUUCACCUGUGGAAGGAAAUAUUUUCUGUUUCUUUUUAUUUUAUUUUGGACAAAUGAAAAUACCUACACCUGCAGAGGCCACAUUGACAUAUCGCCUAGUGUUAAAGAAAAUCAUUCAUACUACAGCUGCUCUUAAAACUUUGACUUUUGAAUAAACAAAAUAGAAGAAAACCAUAAAACAUUCGAUAUUAUUGGUUAUUGGCUGACAUGGUAUUUAAUUACUUACUAAAGCUGCAUGAAGUCUGUGAGACCUCGUGUUAUCCCUGAUAUUCUCAUAGUGUUUGAACCUCUGCUAUUUAAGAGUUUGGAUUUUUGUUUACAGUGUUUUCAAGCCUUAAUGGAAAGAUGAUAAUAUAUUGUCCACUCACACAGACGAACACACACACAUAGAGACAGACAGAGUGCUGAUGUCAGUCUGAGGGGGGCUUUCACGUGAUGCCAACGGGACAAAGGUUUGUGUGACUCCACUAAUCUAUAUUUUUUACAGUAAGAGAGAGAGAGAGAGAGAGAGAGAGAGAGAGAGACGAUAAGGGAGUUGAGUUUCCUGAUCAGAUUGUGUUUGAUGUUGUUAAAUAUUUUUGUUCAUGCUGCAUGGAGCAUGAGAGUCUGUGAGUGUGUUUAGAAGGUGUGUAUGAGAGAAAGAGAGAGAGAGAGAAAGAGUGUGUGUGUGUGUGUGUGUGUGUGUGUGUGUGUGUGUGUGUGUGUGUGUGUGUGGUAGAGCCCGUCAGCCGUACAGUAUCAGGCUGCAGCACACACACAGACACACACGCACACACACUCAUACAUAUACACAGCAGUGUGCUUCCGCUGAGCAGGGGCAGAAACAGCAGGCCUGAAUCCGAUAGAGUAAGAUCAUUUUAACUCUUUGACACCUGACGUUCCGGGUAAUUUUUUUAUCGAUCUUUGUCAUUUUUAUGCUUUUAAACUCUCAGUUAUAUUAGCUGUUUAUAAACCUGUAUAAUUGAAUAUUUUGAGGAAGUGAUUUGUUGCAUGUUAUAAUCAUGAUCAUGACACAAGCGCAUUAAGAAGCGCAGUUACUGUAAGGCCGGUUUGGCGUAAUUUUAACUUUACGCACGGCGCGUAAGAAAUUAAAAUACAUUGUUGACUUUGCAAUUGUAUUUCUUCUUAUUGAUUUCUUUUUUGAGUAAUCCAAAAAACUUAAAUCAAACAGUAUCUGUCCUUCUGUUCGAGUCUAAAAUCUGAUUUGACUGGUAUGAUUAUUUUGGGAUGUGCACUGUUUAAUGAACAUGUGUCCCUUUAAAUUAAAAAUGUAAAUUAAAUACCUGACUGUAAAUGUUGGCUACUAAAUGUUAUUUAAGGUUAGCUUUCUUUCAACGAUCCAGUCAUAAUUUUUAAAACUGUGAGGCUAUUAUGAUGAUAUUUUAAUGAUAAAAAAAAUAUAUUUUUUGGCUUCUUAUAAAAAACAAUGUCUCCUGUCUGAAUUGCGCGGAUAUCCCGCAGUUGCUUAGCGCCAUACAGUGGCUGGAAAACAUUUUCCUCUUGGCCUCCACACUGACCAGGAGUGAUUUAUGCUCACUGUGUCCAUUUUUAUAUCACUCCAGUCGAUGUAUUUGACUUCCUACUCUUUCUAAAGCUUACCGAAAAGUCUUUAUAAAUAAGAUGAAUCCAAAUCAAUUCAACCAGAAUGUUUCUGAAAUUUUCUUAUUUGAGUGUAACACCAGAUAUUACCUGCCCAGAAAGAGCUGAGACUCUGAGAAGAAUAAAUAUCCAUUUUGUCAUAACGAGGAUAAACUUUUGUUUGAGUCCACUUUGAUGUCUGACUGAAAAGCGCUUCAGCUCCUUCUAGGAGGAAAAGCCUAACAGCAUAAUUGGGACUAUCAAGUAAAAUUGAUACAAUAACAUCCACUCGCUCGGUUCAAAGAAUGCCCGAAGAAAGAAAAUUGUCACACUUCUCCUCUUCUUCCUCUUUUUUUUUUUUUUUUUGGUCUAAUGACCCCCGCAAUUUUCCUCCAGCCGGACUCAUUUUCCCGACGAUGGGGAGGAAAUAUUUCAUGUGAGGAUUUGAGGAUCUUUGAAACAGUUUCUGCAGGUCGCUCCUGAGGGGAGUUUGAAAACAUGUCGGCUCUAAUUAGCGCUGCAGAGAUCACGCACCAGUCCGGGAGUGGGUCCGGAGUGAGCCCUACAAAAAUCACACUGAACAUGAAAAAUACACCUGGUGGAGUUUGGAUAAUUUCUAUAACGAUUUAUGAUGAGACGUCGAUUUUACUAAGAGUUAAAGUUUUUUUUCAGUGUUGUUCAGAUAAACAUGAUUUGUUGCGGAAUUAUUUUUUCUACCGCUAAAAACCAAUAAGAUUUAAAAAUGUCUUCUAAUGUAUUUAUUACAAUUAAAAUGAAAUGAAUAGGCUACGACCUGAAUUUAACAAGAAUUUAUCUCAAAACAUUAAAAAAACGUAAAGCAGACUCCGUAAAAUGUUUUGUUUUUACAGCAAGUUACGGUAAAAAAAAUUGCGUAAAAAAGACACAAAAACAAACAAAACAAAACAAAAAAGGAUUUACACCCAUCAUUUACAUUUAAAAUGACAGCAAAGAUUAAUAUUCAGCCUGUUUGAAAGUAUUUCCCUUUUCUUUCUUUCUUUCUUUCUUUCUCACAGUUUCAGAUAGUCUAACAUUUAUAUUGUCACUUUUGAGAACUCUACAUCAGAUUAAAAAUCUUAAAAAUUUGGGUCUGUUGGUUGAAAUAUCAGAUUUAUUAAAAGCCAGAUUUAACUUCAGUUUCUUUGAGUAAAGUGCAAAAUUAAAGAAAUUUACCUUCAGCUAAAUUUCCACCUUAAAUAGUUCAACUGAGGCCUGAUUUCCCUCUUUUUUUCAGCCCCUCUUUAACUCACACUGACUGAUCAGAGACAAAAGAAUAUGAACAUACGUCAUGGCCAUUUCAAUCUCAUUACAUCAGUGAUGAUACCAAUAUCAUUGCCAUCAUUUACCCCAGUUGCCUAUUAAUCACCUUCCAUUAGUGUCUUUACCGAGCUCUUAGAAGAGGUUCCAGGAUCCUGCUCCAUGUUGGAGGAUAAAUGAGUCAUCAAGCCGACCACAAGAAUACAAUAACUAACUGUCUUUUGUUCCCGUGUGUCACCUCAGAGUGAUUUUUCACCGGAGCUCUGAACACUAACAGGGGUAUUGAUUAAAAUAUGUUUUCCCACCCUCAGGAUUGGACAGUGUGGAGUCUCCCGUGGGAUCCUGGAGCUUGGUGUGAGCGUACGGAGAGAGGAGGAAAGAAAGGGGAGAAGGGAGACUCAGGAGCGACACUUAAAAAAGAGGAG
Molecule: non-coding RNA, 23346 nt
Organism: Xyrichtys novacula (pearly razorfish)
Lineage: Eukaryota; Metazoa; Chordata; Actinopteri; Labriformes; Labridae
Source: the annotation of a GenBank genome assembly